RNAcentral lists this ribosomal RNA (488 nucleotides) under uncultured bacterium. Its description in RNAcentral is "bacterial SSU rRNA". It matches the Rfam family "Bacterial small subunit ribosomal RNA", at positions 29 to 526 of the family's 1533-position model. The record is from RNAcentral.
AGUGAACGCUGGCGGCGUGCUUAACACAUGCAAGUCGAACGAGAACGGGUUAUAGCUUGCUAUAAUUGUCAGCUAAGUGGCGCACGGGUGAGUAAUAUAUAGAUAACCUGCCCUCAAGAAAGGAAUAACAGUUGGAAACGAUUGCUAAUGCCCUAUAUGCCUUUAAUACAUAAGUAUGCAAGGGAAACGCUUUAGUGCUUGAGGAUGGGUCUGUAUGGUAUCAGCUAGUUGGUGAGGUAAUGGCUCACCAAGGCAAUGACGCCUAACUGGUUUGAGAGGAUGAUCAGUCACACUGGAACUGAGACACGGUCCAGACUCCUACGGGAGGCAGCAGUGGGGAAUAUUGCACAAUGGACGGAAGUCUGAUGCAGCAACGCCGCGUGGAGGAUGACACAUUUCGGUGCGUAAACUCCUUUUAUAUAGGAAGAUAAUGACGGUACUAUAUGAAUAAGCACCGGCUAACUCCGUGCCAGCAGCCGCCGUAAUAC